Molecule: ribosomal RNA, 749 nt
Filed under: uncultured bacterium
Lineage: Bacteria
Description: bacterial SSU rRNA
Rfam family: Bacterial small subunit ribosomal RNA
Source: RNAcentral
GCCCUUCACUACGGAAUAGCCUCUGGAAACGGAGAGUAAUACCGUAUGCGCCCUUCGGGGAAAGAUUUAUCGGUGAAGGAUUAGCCCGCGUCUGAUUAGAUAGUUGGUGGGGUAACGGCCUACCAAGUCGACGAUCAGUAGCUGGUUUGAGAGGAUGAUCAGCAACACUGGGACUGAGACACGGCCCAGACUCCUACGGGAGGCAGCAGUGGGGAAUCUUAGACAAUGGGCGCAAGUGAUCUAGCCAUGCCGCGUGAGUGACGAAGGCCUUAGGGUCGUAAAGCUCUUUCGCCAGGGAUGAUAAUGACAGUACCUGGUAAAGAAACCCCGGCUAACUCCGUGCCAGCAGCCGCGGUAAUACGGAGGGGGUUAGCGUUGUUCGGAAUUACUGGGCGUAAAGCGCGCGUAGGGGAUUGGAAAGUUGGGGGUGAAAUCCCGGGGCUCAACCCCGAACUGCCUCCAAAACUAUCAGUCUAGAGUUCGAGAGAGGUGAGUGGAAUUCCAAGUGUAGAGGUGAAAUUCGUAGAUAUUUGGAGGAACACCAGUGGCGAAGGGGCUCACUGGCUCGAUACUGACGCUGAGGUGCGAAAGUGUGGGGAGCAAACAGGAUUAGAUACCCUGGUAGUCCACACCGUAAACGAUGAAUGCCAGACGUCGGGGGGCCUGCCCUUCGGUGUCACACCUAACGGAUUAAGCAUUCCGCCUGGGGAGUACGGUCGCAAGAUUAAAACUCAAAGGAAUUGACGGGG